This 462-nucleotide ribosomal RNA is filed under the name uncultured bacterium. RNAcentral describes it as "partial 16S ribosomal RNA". It matches the Rfam family "Bacterial small subunit ribosomal RNA", at positions 32 to 507 of the family's 1533-position model. The record is from RNAcentral.
AACCAACGCUGGCGGCGUGCCUAAUACAUGCAAGUCGAACGGGGAAAGCUUUCGGGUGAGUACUAGUGGCGCACGGGUGAGGAACGCGUGGAUAAUCUGCCUUAGAGUGGGGGAUAACUAGUCGAAAGAUUAGCUAAUACCGCAUAAGACCACGAGAGCUGCGGCUUUUGAGGUCAAAGGUUUUUCGCUCUAAGAUGAGUCCGCGUAAGAUUAGCUAGUUGGUGAGGUAACGGCUCACCGAGGCGACGAUCUUUAACUGGUCUGAGAGGAUGAUCAGUCACACUGGAACUGAGACACGGUCCAGACUCCUACGGGAGGAAGCAGUAGGGAAUAUUGCACAAUGGAGGAAACUCUGAUGCAGCGACGCCGCGUGAGUGAUGAAGGCCUUCGGGGCGUAAAGCUCUGUCGCAGGGGAAUAACACAAUGAAGGUACCCUGUAAGAAAGGAUCGGCUAACUUCGUG